RNAcentral lists this ribosomal RNA (483 nucleotides) under uncultured bacterium. RNAcentral's name for it is "partial 16S ribosomal RNA". It matches the Rfam family "Bacterial small subunit ribosomal RNA", at positions 30 to 506 of the family's 1533-position model. The record is from RNAcentral.
AUUGAACGCUGGCGGAAUGCUUUACACAUGCAAGUCGAGCGGCAGCACGGGGGCAACCCUGGUGGCGAGCGGCGAACGGGUGAGUAACACAUCUGAACAUGCCCAGUCGUGGGGGAUAACACUUCGAAAGAAGUGCUAAUACCGCAUACGUCCUGAGGGAGAAAGCGGGGGAUCGCAAGACCUCGCGCGAUUGGAGUGGCCGAUGUCAGAUUAGCUAGUUGGUGGGGUAAAGGCCUACCAAGGCAACGAUCUGUAGCUGGUCUGAGAGGAUGAUCAGCCACACUGGGACUGAGACACGGCCCAGACUCCUACGGGAGGCAGCAGUGGGGAAUUUUGGACAAUGGGGGCAACCCUGAUCCAGCCAUUCCGCGUGAGUGAAGAAGGCCUUCGGGUUGUAAAGCUCUUUCGGCAGGAACGAAACGGUGAGCUCUAACAUAGCUUGCUAAUGACGGUACCUGAAAAAGAAGCACCGGCUAACUACGU